RNAcentral lists this transfer RNA (64 nucleotides) under Micrambe villosus. RNAcentral describes it as "tRNA-Pro". Lineage: Eukaryota; Metazoa; Arthropoda; Insecta; Coleoptera; Cryptophagidae. The record is from RNAcentral.
CAAGUAAUAGUUUAUAAAAAUAUUAAUUUUGGAGAUUAAAGAUAGGAAAGAUUCUUUUACUUGA